This 861-nucleotide ribosomal RNA is filed under the name uncultured bacterium. Its description in RNAcentral is "bacterial SSU rRNA". It matches the Rfam family "Bacterial small subunit ribosomal RNA", at positions 44 to 896 of the family's 1533-position model. The record is from RNAcentral.
AUGCCUAACACAUGCAAGUCGAACGGUAACAGGACUAGCUUGCUAGUUGCUGACGAGUGGCGGACGGGUGAGUAAUGUAUAGGGAUCUGCCUAAUAGUGGGGGACAACGUGUGGAAACGCACGCUAAUACCGCAUACGCUCUACGGAGGAAAGUGGGGGAUCUUCGGACCUCAUGCUAUUAGAUGAACCUAUAUCGGAUUAGCUUGUUGGUGAGGUAAUGGCUCACCAAGGCGACGAUCCGUAGCUGGUUUGAGAGAAUGAUCAGCCACACUGGGACUGAGACACGGCCCAGACUCCUACGGGAGGCAGCAGUGGGGAAUAUUGCACAAUGGGCGAAAGCCUGAUGCAGCAAUGCCGCGUGUGUGAAGAAGGCCUUCGGGUUGUAAAGCACUUUCAGAUGUGAGGAAAAGUAGUCUAUUAAUACUAGACUGCCGUGACGUUAACAUCAGAAGAAGGACCGGCUAACUCCGUGCCAGCAGCCGCGGUAAUACGGAGGGUCCAAGCGUUAAUCGGAAUUACUGGGCGUAAAGCGCGCGUAGGCGGAUAAUUAAGUCAGAUGUGAAAGCCCUGGGCUCAACCUAGGAACUGCAUUUGAUACUGGUUAUCUAGAGUAUGGUAGAGGUGAGUGGAAUUUCAGGUGUAGCGGUGAAAUGCGUAGAGAUCUGAAGGAACAUCAGUGGCGAAGGCGACUCACUGGGCCAUUACUGACGCUGAGGUGCGAAAGCGUGGGUAGCAAACAGGAUUAGAUACCCUGGUAGUCCACGCCCUAAACGAUGUCAACUAGGUGUGUGAGAGUCUAACUCUUGCGUAUCGAAGCUAACGCGAUAAGUUGACCGCCUGGGGAGUACGGUCGCAAGACUA